Molecule: RNA transcript, 4791 nt
Organism: Schistocerca cancellata (South American locust)
Lineage: Eukaryota; Metazoa; Arthropoda; Insecta; Orthoptera; Acrididae
Gene name: calcium-responsive transcription factor-like
Exons: 6
Source: RefSeq, a predicted model, not a curated record
UGACACAUUUUGUUGUCAGACGCUUGUGUACUAUUUGGGUGUCAACAGUAGUUUCUGCUGUGUGUACCUUGUUUUGUGCUAUGCUGUGGUGGAGUAUGGUGAUUUCGUUUCGCUGUGCUUUGUUUUUAUUGCGACAUGUGUCCAUUUAAGACUAUAAUGAAAGAGUGUAUGAAGGAAUUCAGCAUCGGAAACAAAGGCCAGUUUUGCGGCAUUUGUUCAUCCGAGGAAGAAAUCGAUUACCUUUUUACCAGGCUCAAAUGUGUUGGGUAUUCUUAUUCGGUGAGGAGCAGCGCUUAUAACAGAUUAUCCUCCGACGCUACAACCAGUAAACCACGAUUCUUCUUCAGUCAGUCACAAGGGACUAUUCAAAUCCCAUUUUUUGGGUCACCAUUUUCGGUUGAGUAUGUAAGCUACAGGCAAUGUACACUAGGUCCAAUGUACUAUGAUAAAAACGAGAUUCCUGUUCCUAAUCACCUGGUUGACCAUAUCAUCCCAAAUAAAAAGCGAAAGUUGUUUAUGGAUACCAAGAAAAGUGACUGUCCUGCCACAUUUUUAGUAAAAUGUGUCAGAGUUUAUCCUGGGUAUUUAGUCCUAUCAGAGAAUGAUCGCAAGACAAAAAAAAUGGUUAUUGAUAGCUUGAAGAAGCAUUUGGAGUUACCCAAUAAACCAGAAAGCUUUCUUCGCUUGUAUGUGGUUGCUUCACCACCAGAGCACCACACACACAGUGCAGCACAUAUGAAAACAAGUGGAGAUCUGCAUCCUCGACUAGCUUUGGAAAUACGGAACCAUGUCAAAAAUGGAACAACAUCAGUAAGAGAAAUAAAAUUGCUUCUUGAAAAGUUUGUUGAGACAAACUUCAGUGGGCCAGCUAGACCAGACCGCGUAAACACUGCAUUUUACCCCACAGACAAAACCAUUUAUAACCAUGUGUAUAGGACAAGGAAGAGAAUUUUUGGUGAAGAUUCAUUAGAGAUCCAGAUUGAUAAGGCAUAUGGAUGUGACUCAAGCAGCAGGUGUACUGCACCAAUUAAUUCUGUAAGAAAUGGUGUACAGAAUACCAGCAGAAGCGAUGAAAGGAACAAAAAGCACGCCAGUCCUGAAAAAUCAAGCUCUUGUUCAUCCCUGUCUCAAGAGGCAAGAGACAUAUGUAAAAAUAUUAUAGAGCUCACAUACAAUUGCAGUGAUGAAGCAAUAAAAAAACUUGUAGAUGACCUUAGAAAUGUGCAGCGUAGUGUAGAAUUGUCAGACCUUCCUUCAACAGUGGCAACAAAUUCUAAAAUAGAGAAACAUAUUUGAACAGUGAAAUUGGCACGAGGUAUCAAAUUUCACUGAAUAUGCUGCACUCAAAAGUCUGGAGCAACUCAAGAACCAGAAAAAACUUAAAACUGAUGUGUGUCUGAAGCAUCUAUGGUAACUCUGCUUCAGAGCAAAACCAGAUGUAGCUGUACAAUAAGAUGGUGGACCUGUGAAUCCUGAAGGGGCAGACAGAGCAACUCAACAAGUUUGUGGUGUGCAAAUUUUAUAUGUCAAGUGGCCAUAGUGGAGCUGCAGUCAGUUGUUUUAGCAAAAUGGAGGAUAUGAAGGGGCGUGCACAAGUGGUAGGUGGUAUGCAGAGACAAAAUCGGCGACCCAUGUGCAAAGAAACUUUUGUCGAGUUUACAACAAAGCACCCCCGUUGUUCAAGACUAUAAAGAAGUGGUGUGAUCAGUUUUUGGCUACUAGGAGUGUUGCGAAAGGGCAUGGUGGUGGUAAGCCUGGGAUCAGCAGACAUCAUGUGGAACAAGUGCGACGGUCAUUCGAAAAAAGUCCACAGAAGUCAGUGCGACAGGCAGCAUGAGAACUUCGUAUGAAACGUUCAACAGUGCACAAAGUGCUUCAUCAGCGAUUACGUUUGUAUGCAUAUAAAGUGCAGGUUGUGCAAGAAAUCAAGCCUGAUGAUUGACCAAAGCGAGAAGAAUUUGCAUGUGUCAUGUUAGAUCGCAUUGUCGCGGACGAGACGUUUUUAUCAUAAUGUUUACUGACGAGGCAACCUUUCACUUGUCAGGGGCUGUCAAUCGUCACAAUGUGCGCAUCUGGGGGUCCGAAAAUCCACAUGCACCUAGGGAACACAUGCGCGAUAGUCCGAAAGUUAAUGUGUGGUGUGGUUUGAUGAUAAAUCGCAUUGUUGGGCAGUUUUUCUUUCAGGAGCCGACUGUGGAUGGAGCCAUCUACCUGGACAUGUUGGAACAAUUUGCCGUGCCACAGAUAAAAGACCUGCAGCCAAAUGUGAUGUUUCAACAGGAUGGUGCACCACCCUAUUGGAGUUUUGAUGUCCGAAAAUUUUAAAUGACACAUUCCCGCAAUGAUGGAUUGGCCGUGGAGGUCCAAUUCCUUGGCCGCCACGUUCGCCCGACAUAACCCCCCUCGAUUUUUUCUUAUGGGGUUAUGUAAAAGAGCGGUUAUACGCUACACCAGUAAAGGACCUGCAAGACUUGAAACAGCGCAUAAGAAUUGUCAUCAACUCAGUGACAGAAAAGAUGCUCCGCAACACAUGGCACGAAAUUGGUUGUAGACUUGAUAUUCUUCGUGCUACCCGUGGCACCCAUGUUCAAGUGUACUGAACCGUCCACCUGUGUAUGAAAACUUGAUGAGCUGCUGUAUGAUUUCCCUGUAUUUGUUCGUCAAUAAAUUGUGUUUCCUCUCAGAUUUAUGAGUUCAAAUGUUGGAGUCUCAUUGUGGACACCCUGUACUAUGAUACAGCCAUUGAGUGUCCAGCAGAGUGUGCGUGCAAUAAACUUCAGUAAGACAGACAACAGUAAACAUUACAUAAGAAAGUAAACUGUAAACUAUAAAUAAAAUGGAGAAAGAUUCAAAGACAGUGACAAACCCAAGCGAACAGAAAGCAGCAGUGCCUGGCACAGUGAAGAAGGCUGGAGGCAUACGUAGUAGUUGAGGCGAUAACAGAUGGCGCCAGCAGAAGACUGUACAUGCAAUAUCAUGAAUAUGUUAAUGAACAAAUCCAAACAUUGAGGCUGUCCCUGAUUAAACUGGAGAAGAAAGAUAUGUCGUCUUCUCCAGUUAUGAGGAUUCCGUUGAUGAUAACAGUUACGCGAAUGAAUCAGUUGACAUGUUUAGUUUGCCACAAAUAAAGAAAAUACCGAAUGAAACAUUUAAAAAGGCUGUUAACACUGCGUUCACAACAUUGUUCGUGGCUAAUAAUGGAAUACCAAUGUUCGCAACACAAAAUCAGUGUUCCAUGACUGCGUCGGUAGAGAUCAAAGAAACAUUGUUCGUGGCGUGCCACCACUAAAUUACACUAUGGAGUGCUAGCGUUUGUUUGCUCGGAGAGAGUGUUUUGGUGUUUGUUGUGUGAGUGGUGGGGUGUUUAUUUUAUUUUCCUUCAUUUUUGUUUAAAAUGGAGUGGUCACGAGACAAAAUUUUCCAGUUGAUAUUAUUCUUUGAGGCAAAGGAGUGCCUGUGGAAUGUACAUUGUGGAGGUUACAGAAUUACUAAAAUCAAACAUGAUUCAUUACAAAAAGUUCCUGCCGUGCUUGGCAGUGAUAUGGACAAAAAAAUUAAAUCUCUCUUGUCUCAGUAUCGAUGAGAGGAAAGAAAAAUAGAGGACAGUAAAAAAUCUGGAAGUGGUACUGACACACUACAAAAUGAGUGGGACACAACUCUGGGGUAAACAAGGUUAUGCUUGCAAAUGAUUAUUUUUAUUCUCGUGUAAAACAAUUUGAGCUGUAAUUAUUUUGCCAUGGAACAGCUCCUUGUGGGCUCAUGAAGUAGUUAGCAAAUUCGUUGUGAAUUUCCUUGAGUGUUUGAGAAGUUCUCCAUGGUAUAUUUGGGAGUGCAGUAAUAGAGGAUGCAUUAGCAUUGGUUUGCGGAAGACACGAAACACUGAGGUCAUAAUACCAAAUGUGUUUUCCACACUCAUCCUUGCCCUUGACAAUCUAUAGUUAUAGACUCUCUCUUUUGGGCCUUUCUGGAUACGGCUUCAUGAUAUUUUCCUGUAUUGGAAAAGCAUCAUUUGCCGUGAAUAUGUAUGGUACUGGCCUUGUCCCUCCAGGUAAACACUCGUGAGGUGGCAUGUUCAGUUUGUUUUUGUGAAUUAGUUCACUUAGGCAUUCUUGAAAACACAUCCAUCAGAAAUCCUCCCUUGGCAGCCAACAUCAGCAUAUAAAAAGUAGUAGUUGGCGUCAACUACAGCAAGCAACACAAUGCAAAAUGAUCCUUUAUAAUUAUAAAACUUGCUCUCACUAGCAACAGGGCACUGUAGGAAAGUAUGCUUCCCUUCAAUUGCUCCCACGCAAUGAGGGAAGUGGAGUGCCUGGCGGAACAUACUUUCUUUUGAAUGCCAUUCAUCUUCAGUAGCUGGCAUCUGAAACAAGGAAAUUUGACUUCAGGUUUCGCAAGAGGUACCUCAACCUGCAGCAGCUGAAACAGAGGAACUUGCAGCGAAAUAAGAAGAGGACAGCACACCACCUCCACAAAAAUGGGUUAGGAGGGGGGUUGGAAGAAGCAACCCCAUAUUUAAUGCAGCAGAAAUGUUGCAUAGCAGCAGCAACAACUACAGGACUCGGCAACAGAUAUGGGAAAAUUUCGUCACUAAGUUGAAAGAGCUUCCAUCCUAUGAAAGGGCGGUGGCUACUAGACGAAUAAGUGAUGUGCUGUACAAGGAGGGACUGAAUGCUCUGAGGAAGCAGCAGAUUAAUAAACAUAGAUGAAGCAGGAUCAUCAGCUUCAACUUCAACUGCAGAUUCCCAUCACAUUCAGUGGCAGCAAAUCUGAUUUGGAUUCUGAAGAAAUUAU